GUCACAGCCAUAGUCAGGUCGUACCGGAUGACUGCGGGGCUGACGGUUCGUGUCGCUACCAGUCCGCUGACAUGGUGCGUCAAUCAACGUGUGGACGGAUUGAGACAGCGUAGUGUCCAUAGAGCUGCAGAGACUUCAGGGAGAAACCUCUGUGUGAUGGACGUCCUGUCUGUUGGUUUGGAGAGGACUGAGGGUCUUUCAUCAGCGAGGAGGACCAGGCCUGAUGGAGGAGCCCAUGCUGGGCAUAGCUGAUAC
Long non-coding RNA from Notothenia coriiceps (black rockcod), 255 nucleotides. RefSeq lists it as uncharacterized. The transcript has 2 exons. NCBI's taxonomy places the organism in Eukaryota, Metazoa, Chordata, Actinopteri, Perciformes, Nototheniidae. The record is from RefSeq and is a predicted model, not a curated record.